ACGAACGCUGGCGGCGUGCUUAACACAUGCAAGUCGAACGGAAAGGCCCCCUUGUGGGGUACUCGAGUGGCGAACGGGUGAGUAACACGUGAGUAACCUACCCUUGACUUUGGGAUAACUUCAGGAAACUGGGGCUAAUACCGGAUAGGAGCUCCUGCUGCGUGGUGGGGGUUGGAAAGUUUCGGCGGUUGGGGAUGGACUCGCGGCUUAUCAGCUUGUUGGUGGGGUAGUGGCUCACCAAGGCUUUGACGGGUAGCCGGCCUGAGAGGGUGACCGGCCACAUUGGGACUGAGAUACGGCCCAGACUCCUACGGGAGGCAGCAGUGGGGAAUAUUGCACAAUGGGCGGAAGCCUGAUGCAGCAACGCCGCGUGCGGGAUGACGGCCUUCGGGUUGUAAACCGCUUUCGCCUGUGACGAAGCGUGAGUGACGGUAAUGGGUAAAGAAGCACCGGCUAACUACGUG
This 464-nucleotide ribosomal RNA is filed under the name uncultured bacterium. RNAcentral's name for it is "partial 16S ribosomal RNA". It matches the Rfam family "Bacterial small subunit ribosomal RNA", at positions 29 to 507 of the family's 1533-position model. The record is from RNAcentral.